UAUGAUAGAUUAUUACCUCGCAUUUUAGCAAUGGAAUAGUACCCAGCCUUUUAAUUUCGUAAACUCUCACCCACAUAACUCAAAAAUACCUAAUUAUACACAACAGAAAUGAACAUCCACUCAAAUGUAGCCUAAUAAAAAGUGUAAAUUAACAGAAGGAUAUUAAUUAAAUCCAAUGUAAUAACGGCAGGUGGGCAGGUAAACGUAAAUUGUAUGUAUGUAUCUAUACAUCGCUGGGAUUUCCCACACACUUUGCAAUAGUAAAUAAGAUUUAAAAAGGUUCUUCACGAGAAACCGCAUCGAUAGCCCGAACUAUAAACGUCAUUGCCAAAUCUCGAAACCGCUAUCGACAUUCGAAAUCCCGCAUCCCCGGUUAUCGGUAAGGAAAACUACUAUGCAGAAAACACGAUGUUUAUAUACGUUAAUAAAUAUAAAUGUCCUCAGACGAUAGUAGACUCAACUGAGAGGUGGACGUUUCGCGCAAACUAAAAGAAAAAUCACUAAAAAUUGUGCUUAAUCAGAACGGACACGCCAACCACAGGAAGGAAUUUAAAAUGGUAUCCUACACAACACUGGUCAUUGUCACAAUGGUACUGGCGCAAGCGUUUUGCAGGCCCGAGGUGAACAAAGAUAGUAACAUCAGUGGUUCUACAAUAAAACCACCAGCCGGCCUCUCAUACAACGAACUGAUGUAUAUUCUACAAGCGAGGUACGGCAAAGAUGUGCCAAGGCCGAAGAUUUUGUCCCCAUGUGCUCGAGCGAUUCUCGGUUGCUGCAAGGAUAAUCACAUCAACGAGUCUUGCUCGGAAUCACUCAAUUGCGGAGCAUUUUUCUUCGACGACAAUCCCUGUGAUGAGAAAUUCGUGCUAGACGCUUUAAAAGCGGCUAAGAGCUUUUAUCAGCAACUGUGAGGUUAUGGUACAAAGAACUUUGGUUUUAUUGAAAUGAUUGUAGUCAGACUUAGAUUUGCUGAGUUUUUUAUUUGUAAAUGUUGGUAUCUUAUCUCAUCAAUGGCUCUUGAUUACAAAAUUACCUACGAUUUGAUAAGAAAUGUAUAUUUUUAAGUACACAGAAACCAAAUGGCACAUUAUUUAAGUAGCAUACUUAUAACUAAUGUCUUCAUUAAUUUGUAAAUGAUAUUUGUUGUUCUUAUUGUAACUAAUUGGUAUAUUGAAAUACAAUAUUUGGCGUUCAAUAUAAUACAGACAAAUAACACUAAUUACCACUUUGUGGAUAAUCAGAAGAAAAUGUAUGAAAGUGAGCUCUGGUAAUUGCCUGUCAUAAUACAUAACGGUGUUAAUAUAUAAUGUACUGAUUAAGCCUAGGGCCAUUGUCUACAGCUAAUGAAGCGUCUUCUCAAGUAACACGCGAGAUAAGGUAUCAUAACUGACUAAGAGAUUGUAUUAUUAUGAAUUGUACGUAGGUAAUUGAAUCUGCAUAAGUAGAACGUCUGACUUGACAUCAGUCGUUAGGUGGUAACUUAAUAAGUAAUUUAUUUUCUUUCAUGACAAUUUCCUGCCUAUACUUAAAGAAUAUACAUAGAAAUAAGUAUUUUUGAAUAGAACUUUAACAACUUUUUUGUAUUAUUACAAUUAAGUAAUGUUUUUUUGUAACUGUCAAUACUUUUUUUGGAUUUAGUCUCAUAUUUAAUUGUGCCUGUUCGCCAAAGUUAUUCCUUGAUUAAACAAUUUUUUUUGUAUAACUUCGCGUAACUUUGAAUUCAAAAAACAUGAAAUAUGUAACUAUGUUGAUAUUACUGUUAAGUCAUUAAUUUUAAGGCGUGAUUGUCAAGCUUCAAAAGACCCGAAAAGGCUUUAGUAAGAGGAUCGGCUUUCCUGGCGUGACGUCACGACAUAGUUUAUAGUCCCCACUGCCAUAAUUUAUUGUGUAAAGAAGAUUUAUAAGCUUUGGAGUCGAGAGUGGAUUGUAUACAAUAUAUACGUACUAAAUUGUGUACCUACCAAGUACGGAGUACAGGUUUAUAAAUAUUUGUUAUCGAAAUGGCUUAAAAACCGUUUCAGAAAUAAAAUA
Spodoptera frugiperda (fall armyworm) is the source of this 2031-nucleotide long non-coding RNA. RefSeq lists it as uncharacterized. The record is from RefSeq and is a predicted model, not a curated record. NCBI's taxonomy places the organism in Eukaryota, Metazoa, Arthropoda, Insecta, Lepidoptera, Noctuidae. The transcript has 2 exons.